Molecule: long non-coding RNA, 1367 nt
Organism: Pipistrellus kuhlii (Kuhl's pipistrelle)
Lineage: Eukaryota; Metazoa; Chordata; Mammalia; Chiroptera; Vespertilionidae
Exons: 2
Source: RefSeq, a predicted model, not a curated record
UUGACUCGAAGGAGUGUUUUUAGAGAGUCUUUAAAUAAUAAUAAUGAUUUUGCUAGUGGAAAAUCAGUUCAGCUCUUUGCCACAUUUGAGUCCUAUAGGAUUCUCUUGUUCUUAGAGGUUGUAAAUAUUUUUGGAACUUGUGUUAGAAGAGAUUCAGGCAAACAUAAUUACAGAAGAAAUAUCUCUGGAAAAAACAGUUUAUUGAUUAGUUGAAAUAUACUCUUUUUUCCCUUCUCUGUUCCCUAUCCCCACCUUGAACUUACUGUCCUCUCUUACUCUCACUGGGGCAGUCUUCGUUGCUUUAAUAUUCCCUUGGAGUGAUGAUGCAACAGGAUAGUAAUUCUUCAUCAGAUUAUAGGGAAACCUUCAGAAACAUUCGGCACAUGAUUGCUUCAUUAGGAAGAAGUUACUCACCGGGCUUGACAUGUUUUACUUAGAAAACAUUCAUUAGUUUUCAAUGUAGGUUUUUUGAGUGUUGUUCUGUUUUCUUCUACUCAAAGAGUAGAAGCAUUAUGCUGUGUGAAACAAGCCAAACACAAAGGACAGGUAUCAUGUGAUUCCCCUUACUAGUACAUGAGCUAUCUAGAAUGGAAAAUUCAGAGAGACAGAAAGUAGAGGAGAGGUUACCAGGGGCUGUGGAAAAUAGAAAUGGUAGUUACUAUUUAACGGGUACAGAGUUUGUUUGGGUGAUGAUGAAUAAGUUCUGGAAAUACAUAGUAGUGAUGGUUGUACAUAUUAUGAUUGUACUUAAUGCCAAUAAAUUAUAUAUAUUAAGUGGUAAAUUUUAUGUUGUGUAUAUUUUGCCCCAAUAUAGAAAAGUAUUUUGAAACAGGGCUAGAUAAAAAGUAUUUCAUUUUAGUGGUCCUCUAACUUGGCUGCACAAUAGAAUCACUUGGGGAACUUAAAUCCUAGUGCCAGGCCACACUUCAGACCAAUUAAAUCAGAAUCUCUGGGGAUGAGAUCCAGGCAUCUGUAGGUUUAAUGUCCCAAGGCAAUUCCAAUGUGCAACCAACUUUGAAACUGCUGCUUCUUACUAUAGUGUCAGCAUCUAUAUGCAAGGUUUUCCUUACUGUCUAAAAUUAUUUUUUUUUAAGUGUUUAUGGAUAUGGUACCAUUCCACAUUUUGUAAAUAUUAGAUAGGGAGGAUGAGGUUAAGAGAAUAUAAAAGUAACAAAAAACUCCUCUUAAAUAGGACAUAGCUUAUUGUGACUAGAGUAAAAAAAAAUAAGGGUAUAUUUAGGAAUACUAGGGGGAGGGAAUACUAGGCACAUAAAUUUCAUAUUCAAGAUAUAACUAGACUAGGGGAAAAUACUUACAAAUUAUAUGACAAAAAUUAAUGUUCAGAAUAGAUUAAUAUUUUCUUCAAA